GUUGGGUAGGGGAGCGUUCUGUAAGCCUGUGAAGGUGUGUCGUGAGGCAUGCUGGAGGUAUCAGAAGUGCGAAUGCUGACAUAAGUAACGAUAAAGCGGGUGAAAAGCCCGCUCGCCGGAAGACCAAGGGUUCCUGUCCAACGUUAAUCGGGGCAGGGUGAGUCGACCCCUAAGGCGAGGCCGAAAGGCGUAGUCGAUGGGAAACGGGUUAAUAUUCCCGUACUUGGUGUUACUGCGAAGGGGGGACGGAGAAGGCUAUGUUGGCCGGGCGACGGUUGUCCCGGUUUAAGCGUGUAGGUGUGUGUUCCAGGUAAAUCCGGUUCACUUUAACACUGAGGCGUGACGACGAGGCACUACGGUGCUGAAGCAACAAAUGCCCUGCUUCCAGGAAAAGCCUCUAAGCAUCAGGUAACAUCAAAUCGUACCCCAAACCGACACAGGUGGUCAGGUAGAGAAUACCAAGGCGCUUGAGAGAACUCGGGUGAAGGAACUAGGCAAAAUGGUGCCGUAACUUCGGGAGAAGGCACGCUGACACGUAGGUGAAGUGAUUUACUCAUGGAGCUGAAGUCAGUCGAAGAUACCAGCUGGCUGCAACUGUUUAUUAAAAACACAGCACUGUGCAAACACGAAAGUGGACGUAUACGGUGUGACGCCUGCCCGGUGCCGGAAGGUUAAUUGAUGGGGUCAGCGCAAGCGAAGCUCCUGAUCGAAGCCCCGGUAAACGGCGGCCGUAACUAUAACGGUCCUAAGGUAGCGAAAUUCCUUGUCGGGUAAGUUCCGACCUGCACGAAUGGCGUAAUGAUGGCCAGGCUGUCUCCACCCGAGACUCAGUGAAAUUGAACUCGCUGUGAAGAUGCAGUGUACCCGCGGCAAGACGGAAAGACCCCGUGAACCUUUACUAUAGCUUGACACUGAACAUUGAGCCUUGAUGUGUAGGAUAGGUGGGAGGCUUUGAAGCGUGGACGCCAGUCUGCGUGGAGCCGACCUUGAAAUACCACCCUUUAAUGUUUGAUGUUCUAACGUGGACCCGUAAUCCGGGUUGCGGACAGUGUCUGGUGGGUAGUUUGACUGGGGCGGUCUCCUCCUAAAGAGUAACGGAGGAGCACGAAGGUUGGCUAAUCCUGGUCGGACAUCAGGAGGUUAGUGCAAUGGCAUAAGCCAGCUUGACUGCGAGCGUGACGGCGCGAGCAGGUGCGAAAGCAGGUCAUAGUGAUCCGGUGGUUCUGAAUGGAAGGGCCAUCGCUCAACGGAUAAAAGGUACUCCGGGGAUAACAGGCUGAUACCGCCCAAGAGUUCAUAUCGACGGCGGUGUUUGGCACCUCGAUGUCGGCUCAUCACAUCCUGGGGCUGAAGUAGGUCCCAAGGGUAUGGCUGUUCGCCAUUUAAAGUGGUACGCGAGCUGGGUUUAGAACGUCGUGAGACAGUUCGGUCCCUAUCUGCCGUGGGCGCUGGAGAACUGAGGGGGGCUGCUCCUAGUACGAGAGGACCGGAGUGGACGCAUCACUGGUGUUCGGGUUGUCAUGCCAAUGGCACUGCCCGGUAGCUAAAUGCGGAAGAGAUAAGUGCUGAAAGCAUCUAAGCACGAAACUUGCCCCGAGAUGAGUUCU
This 1607-nucleotide ribosomal RNA is filed under the name Salmonella enterica subsp. enterica serovar Heidelberg. Its description in RNAcentral is "bacterial LSU rRNA". It matches the Rfam family "Bacterial large subunit ribosomal RNA", at positions 1223 to 2812 of the family's 2925-position model. The record is from RNAcentral. Lineage: Bacteria; Pseudomonadati; Pseudomonadota; Gammaproteobacteria; Enterobacterales; Enterobacteriaceae.